Long non-coding RNA from Cygnus olor (mute swan), 1352 nucleotides. RefSeq lists it as uncharacterized. The record is from RefSeq and is a predicted model, not a curated record. Lineage: Eukaryota; Metazoa; Chordata; Aves; Anseriformes; Anatidae. The transcript has 3 exons.
AGCAGGAUGGCCAGCAGCAAGGUUGGCUCCCCUUUUCUUUACAGCUCUGCGGUUUGUUUGCUGGUCCCAGUUGAUGCAAUAAGGGGCCAGGUUGUCCCCUCGCUGCCCAGCGGGGUGGUGGAGGCCUGAUCCUGCCCUGGGAUUUACACCAUGGUGCUUGGGGAGGGUGGAAACUCCCUUCCACCCCCAGUUCCCAGAAAGAAAGCGGGAAGUAAGCCAUCCCCCAGCCUGGAAACGGAGGGCCUUAUGUGAGAUGUUCCCAUCGGAGCAUCUCUGGAACACAAAGCAACCCUGCCGUGCCCUCUGGGUUUGCAGCCCUGCAUCCCGGGAGCUGGGCUGGAGCCAGGAGCAGCGAGCGAGCCCGCCCCAAGGUUGUAGCCGGUGCGUUGCAGCCUCCCCAGUUGCUCGGAGGGCAAGCGCCCUUCAUCGAUUUUGCAGGAAGGCAGAGGCAAAACUCGCUCAUUUGGAAAGGCCCUCGAAGUGUUACUGAUGGAGGCGAUGAGAGCCUGCGGCUGGUGGAUGUGAUGGAGGAAGCAGGGUAAUGGCACUGUUUGUUCUCAUCUCUCCCCUGCUCCCCCUGAGGAUGUUGUGCCAUCCCAAAAGGCUCACCCUUCCCUGCCUGGCGGGCAGCAGGGCAUUACCUCCAGGCUGGCUGCAGGGAAACCUGCCAGCCUCCAGGGAGGGUUUGGAGGGCUGGGGUCCCUGCUCCGUGCCAUGCCCUCGCUGAGCAUCGCGAUUGGAAAUCAGCCCCCACGAUGGAAAUGAAGACUUUAAAAGGAGCAGAGAGAGCUUCAGCCGUCUAAUGGGAGUGAGUGUAUUUGCUUAUAAAACCUGUCAACACAUAUGGAAGCAAUAAAAGUGCCAUGAGCAGUGCGGUUUGGAGCCCCGCUGCACAUGCACUUUGCAGCAGGGAGCAGCGCUGGCCGGGCUGCGGGUCGGACCCGCCAUCCCUUUGCCAUCAGGCUGAGCCUGGUUUGGGGGAAGAAACUCAACGGGAGCGUGGAGGAGCUCCCCCUCCCUGCAUCCCCACGCAUCUGGAUGCCUUGUCAGCCACUUGGCCGCCUCUCUUCUUCGCACAAUGCGGCGUUAUGAACUCACGGGUGCAUCAUCCGGCAUCAUCCGGCCCGGCCUGAGACAAUGGAGCGCCAAUUAUAGGCAGCUGAAUGACAAAGUGCUCCAAUUACCCUGCGCUGGAAAGCAUGCGCUCUCCUGGCUGGCGCUGCUUCGCCAGCCCGACCUGGCACCGGGCCCCGGCUGCACGGGCGAGAGAGGGUUUGGCAUGGGGGGCACUUCCAGCGCCCCCAAACACCAGCUGGGGAAUGAAUGGGUUGGGGGGGGGGGGGUGAGAAAUG